This 21-nucleotide microRNA is filed under the name Pongo pygmaeus (Bornean orangutan). RNAcentral's name for it is "ppy-miR-3934". Lineage: Eukaryota; Metazoa; Chordata; Mammalia; Primates; Hominidae. The record is from miRBase by way of RNAcentral.
UCAGGUGUGGAAUCUGAGGCA